RNAcentral lists this non-coding RNA (31 nucleotides) under Homo sapiens (human). The record is from RNAcentral. Lineage: Eukaryota; Metazoa; Chordata; Mammalia; Primates; Hominidae.
GUGGAACUUGGCCUCGCAAUCAGCUGGCUUC